UCCGGGGUCGUUCAAUAGGUAGGACGGCGGGUUUUGGUCCCGUUAAUAGGGGUUCGAUCCCUCUCCCCGGAG
Molecule: transfer RNA, 72 nt
Filed under: Actinomycetota bacterium
Lineage: Bacteria; Bacillati; Actinomycetota
Description: tRNA-Gln
Rfam family: tRNA
About the family: Transfer RNA (tRNA) molecules are approximately 80 nucleotides in length.
Source: RNAcentral